AUGAACUGGUUAUCAUGUGGCGACAUGAAUACUAGGUUCUAUCAUGUAAAUGUGGUGCUUAAAAGAAGGAAGAACAUCAACAUGAUCAAGACAAGUAAUAGAGAUUUAACUGAAGAUCCCGAGCUUAUCAAAAAUAUUUUCAAAGAUCGGUAUCAACAACUUCAUACAAUUGACGUGGAGGUUGAAGAAUGGUACCAAACCAAGAUCAAAUUUCCCAACAUUGAGGGUAACAUGGUGGAGCAGCUGAAUGAAAAUUUGAAGUCAUAA
Non-coding RNA from Vicia faba (fava bean), 267 nucleotides. The record is from the annotation of a GenBank genome assembly. NCBI's taxonomy places the organism in Eukaryota, Viridiplantae, Streptophyta, Magnoliopsida, Fabales, Fabaceae.